UACGGGGGGAGCAAGCGUUGUUCGGAUUUACUAGGCGUAAAGGGCGCGUAGGCGGUCAGCACAAGUCAGUUGUGAAAUCUCCGGGCUUAACUCGGAAAGGUCAACUGAUACUGUGCGACUAGAGUGCGGAAGGGGCAACUGGAAUUCUCGGUGUAGCGGUGAAAUGCGUAGAUAUCGAGAGGAACACCUGCGGCGAAGGCGGGUUGCUGGGCCGACACUGACGCUGAUGCGCGAAAGCCAGGGGAGCGAACGGG
This 254-nucleotide ribosomal RNA is filed under the name uncultured bacterium. RNAcentral describes it as "partial 16S ribosomal RNA". It matches the Rfam family "Bacterial small subunit ribosomal RNA", at positions 524 to 776 of the family's 1533-position model. The record is from RNAcentral.